This 300-nucleotide ribosomal RNA is filed under the name uncultured Halopiger sp. Its description in RNAcentral is "bacterial SSU rRNA". It matches the Rfam family "Bacterial small subunit ribosomal RNA", at positions 496 to 795 of the family's 1533-position model. Lineage: Archaea; Methanobacteriati; Methanobacteriota; Halobacteria; Halobacteriales; Natrialbaceae. The record is from RNAcentral.
GCGAAUGCCUGGCCAGGAGGUGCGGUAAGACGGAGGUUGCAAGAAUGAAGCGGAUGUAUGGGGCGUAAAGGGCGCGUAGGCGGAUAAGUAAGUAAGAUGUGAAAUUCCGGGACUCAAUUUCGGAGCUGCAUUUGAAACUACAUAGCUCGAGGAUUGGCGGAGAGAACGGAAGUCCACGUGUAGCGGUGAAAUGCGUAGAUAUGUGGAAGAACACCGGUGGCGAAAGCGGUUCUCUAGCUUAUACCUGACGCUGAGGCGCGAGAGCAAGGGGAUCAAACAGGAUUAGAUACCCGAGUAGUC